UACGUAGGGGGCAAGCGUUGUCCGGAAUUAUUGGGCGUAAAGCGCGUGUAGGCGGCUCGAUAAGUCUGCUGUGAAAGUCCAAGGCUCAACCUUGGAAUGCCGGUGGAUACUGUCGAGCUCGAGUCCGGAAGAGGCGAGUGGAAUUCCUGGUGUAGCGGUGAAAUGCGUAGAUAUUCGCAAGAACACCAGUGGCGAAGGCGGCUCACUGGCCCGGUACUGACGCUGAGGUGCGAAAGCGUGGGGAGCAAACAGG
RNAcentral lists this ribosomal RNA (253 nucleotides) under uncultured bacterium. RNAcentral's name for it is "partial 16S ribosomal RNA". It matches the Rfam family "Bacterial small subunit ribosomal RNA", at positions 524 to 776 of the family's 1533-position model. The record is from RNAcentral.